Molecule: transfer RNA, 104 nt
Filed under: Coprinellus micaceus
Lineage: Eukaryota; Fungi; Basidiomycota; Agaricomycetes; Agaricales; Psathyrellaceae
Rfam family: tRNA
About the family: Transfer RNA (tRNA) molecules are approximately 80 nucleotides in length. Their secondary structure includes four short double-helical elements and three loops (D, anti-codon, and T loops).
Source: Rfam by way of RNAcentral
GGCGAGAUGGCCGAGCGGUCUAAGGCGCCAGACUAAGGAUCAGGGCAUUCGAUGCCCGCUACAUCUGGUCCGAAAGGGCGUGGGUUCGAAUCCCACUCUCGUCA